This 256-nucleotide ribosomal RNA is filed under the name uncultured bacterium. RNAcentral describes it as "partial 16S ribosomal RNA". It matches the Rfam family "Bacterial small subunit ribosomal RNA", at positions 99 to 354 of the family's 1533-position model. The record is from RNAcentral.
CGCACGGGUGAGUAACACGUAUGCAACCUGCCUGCCACAGCCGGAUAAUCGGGAGAAAUUCCGUCUAAUACGGCAUAAUGCAUCGACGGGACAUCCUGUUGGUGCCAAAGGUUAAUUCCGGUGGCGGAUGGGCAUGCGUCGCAUUAGUUAGUUGGCGGUGUAACGGACCACCAAGACGACGAUGCGUAGGGGUUCUGAGAGGAAGGUCCCCCACACUGGACUGAGACACGGACCAGACUCCUACGGAAGGCAGCAG